This 320-nucleotide ribosomal RNA is filed under the name Priestia megaterium. RNAcentral describes it as "bacterial SSU rRNA". It matches the Rfam family "Bacterial small subunit ribosomal RNA", at positions 1151 to 1469 of the family's 1533-position model. Lineage: Bacteria; Bacillati; Bacillota; Bacilli; Caryophanales; Bacillaceae. The record is from RNAcentral.
GCCGGGGACAAACCGGAGGAAGGUGGGGAUGACGUCAAAUCAUCAUGCCCCUUAUGACUUGGGCUACACACGUGCUACAAUGGAUGGUACAAAGGGCUGCAAGACCGCGAGGUCAAGCCAAUCCCAUAAAACCAUUCUCAGUUCGGAUUGUAGGCUGCAACUCGCCUACAUGAAGCUGGAAUCGCUAGUAAUCGCGGAUCAGCAUGCCGCGGUGAAUACGUUCCCGGGCCUUGUACACACCGCCCGUCACACCACGAGAGUUUGUAACACCCGAAGUCGGUGGAGUAACCGUAAGGAGCUAGCCGCCUAUAGGUGUUCCG